CCCUUAGAUGUUCUGGGCAGCACGCGCGCUACAAUGGUCUUCGCAAACGGAUGCAUUCUCGAAGGAGAAUGCCAAUCUUGGAAACUAUGCCUUGGUCGGGACAGUUGCUUGCAAUUUUUCGACUCGAACCAGGAAUUCCUUGUAAUCGUGAUUCAUCACAUCACGAUGAAUACGUCCCUGCCCUUUGUACACACCGCCCGUCGCUCCUACCGAUCGAAGAGUUAGGUGAAUUGUUUUGAUCGAUAAGAUUUGACUAUGGUCAACUCUCGUUGUGAAAUUCUGUGAAUCUGACUGUUUAGAGGAAGGAAAAGUCGUAACA
Molecule: ribosomal RNA, 319 nt
Filed under: uncultured eukaryote
Lineage: Eukaryota
Description: partial 18S ribosomal RNA
Rfam family: Eukaryotic small subunit ribosomal RNA
Source: RNAcentral